This 321-nucleotide unclassified non-coding RNA is filed under the name uncultured fungus. Its description in RNAcentral is "partial internal transcribed spacer 1". Lineage: Eukaryota; Fungi. The record is from RNAcentral.
GUGCAUAACCAAACGAUACGGUGUGCUGAUCGUUAGCCAAAGCUAAAGGUGACGCUAAUAAUAAACCUAAAAAAACAAGGAACGAAGACCGUCUUUUCAUUAAAACCACUCCAUUUUUGAUAUAUAAUUAAGGCGGUACCGGAACUUAUGGCACACAAAUAGCAUUUAGAUUAAGAACACCUAAUGCGCUUAUUACCAGUCAUGCCAACUGCGGAGGUAAUAUAACCUGAUAUAUUCGAUAAUGGAUAUGAAAUCAGUCUUACAGAGUUCUUACUUUUUUAUUAAUGGCGGAUUCAUAGUUGCUUCAGACCGAUCCUGGCA